GCUUUCGUGGUGUAAUGGUAGCACACUCGGCGUGUAUACGAGAGGUCCAGGUUCGAAUCCCGGCGAGGAUG
This 71-nucleotide transfer RNA is filed under the name Stegodyphus mimosarum. It matches the Rfam family "tRNA". From Rfam's summary of the family: Transfer RNA (tRNA) molecules are approximately 80 nucleotides in length. Their secondary structure includes four short double-helical elements and three loops (D, anti-codon, and T loops). The record is from Rfam by way of RNAcentral. Lineage: Eukaryota; Metazoa; Arthropoda; Arachnida; Araneae; Eresidae.